Molecule: transfer RNA, 82 nt
Filed under: Phycisphaerae bacterium
Lineage: Bacteria; Pseudomonadati; Planctomycetota; Phycisphaerae
Description: tRNA-Leu
Rfam family: tRNA
About the family: Transfer RNA (tRNA) molecules are approximately 80 nucleotides in length. Their secondary structure includes four short double-helical elements and three loops (D, anti-codon, and T loops).
Source: RNAcentral
GCGAUGGUGGCGGAACUGGCAGACGCGCAGGAUUUAGGUUCCUGUCCCGAAAGGGGUGAGGGUUCGAGUCCCUCCCAUCGCA